GCUGACGACCGGCGCACGGGUGAGUAACACGUAUCCAACCUUCCCAUUACUCGGGGAUAGCCUUUCGAAAGAAAGAUUAAUACCCGAUAGUACUUUUUUGAGGCAUCUCAAAACAGUUAAAGAUUUAUUGGUAAUGGAUGGGGAUGCGUUCCAUUAGAUUGUUGGUGAGGUAACGGCUCACCAAGUCUUCGAUGGAUAGGGGUUCUGAGAGGAAGGUCCCCCACAUUGGUACUGAGACACGGACCAAACUCCUACGGGAGGCAGCAGUGAGGAAUAUUGGUCAAUGGGCGAGAGCCUGAACCAGCCAAGUAGCGUGAAGGAUGAAGGUCCUAUGGAUUGUAAACUUCUUUUAUAGUAGAAUAAAGUGAGCCACGUGUGGUUUUUUGUAUGUAUACUAUGAAUAAGGAUCGGCUAACUCCGUGCCAGCAGCCGCGGUAAUACGGAGGAUCCGAGCGUUAUCCGGAUUUAUUGGGUUUAAAGGGUGCGUAGGCGGAAUGAUAAGUCAGUUGUGAAAGUUUGCGGCUCAACCGUAAAAUUGCAUUUGAUACUGUCAUUCUUGAGUGUACAUAAGGUAGGCGGAAUUCGUGGUGUAGCGGUGAAAUGCUUAGAUAUCACGAAGAACUCCGAUU
This 629-nucleotide ribosomal RNA is filed under the name uncultured Bacteroidales bacterium. Its description in RNAcentral is "bacterial SSU rRNA". It matches the Rfam family "Bacterial small subunit ribosomal RNA", at positions 87 to 714 of the family's 1533-position model. Lineage: Bacteria; Pseudomonadati; Bacteroidota; Bacteroidia; Bacteroidales. The record is from RNAcentral.